RNAcentral lists this ribosomal RNA (459 nucleotides) under uncultured bacterium. Its description in RNAcentral is "partial 16S ribosomal RNA". It matches the Rfam family "Bacterial small subunit ribosomal RNA", at positions 29 to 523 of the family's 1533-position model. The record is from RNAcentral.
AGCGAACGCUGGCGGCAGGCCUAACACAUGCAAGUCGAGCGGUAAGGCCACUUCGGUGGUACACGAGCGGCGGACGGCUGAGUAACACGUAGGAACGUACCCCAAACUGAGGGAUAACUGCUCGAAAGAGUAGCUAAUACCGCAUGUGCUCUAAGGAGUAAAGCUACGGCGGUUUGGGAACGGCCUGCGCAUGAUUAGCUUGUUGGUGAGGUAAUGGCUCACCAAGGCGACGAUCAUUAGCUGGUCUGAGAGGAUGAUCAGCCAGACUGGGACUGAGACACGGCCCAGACUCCUACGGGAGGCAGCAGUAGGGAAUUUUCCACAAUGGGGGCAACCCUGAUGGAGCAACGCCGCGUGCAGGAUGAAGGCCCUUGGGUCGUAAACUGCUUUUAUCUGUGAAGAUUAUGACGGUAGCAGAUGAAUAAGGAUCGGCUAACUCCGUGCCAGCAGCCGCCGCCG